CAAAGAACGAGAAGGAUAUAAAAAAGGAAAUACUCCCUCCUGUGUUUGCUCAUGAUUUGACAGAGGUAAUUGUUAGGUCGAAAGGGGGUCCAGGAGCUGGUGCAUGCCUCCGCCAGGCAGAUGGUGAUGUAGAUACUGGGCCCUUCCUAGAAUCCGUAACAGGCCAGUGCACCAGACAGAUGACGACACCUGGAAACCGUGACGACCCCCGUGGCGGGAACUCCCACAGCGCAUGCUCCCCGGCCCUCACUGAACAGCUGUAUAUAAAAAAAGCCCCCCUCCCUGUUGGUGGGGAUCCACGUGCCCUGUCUUUGGGGUUCGUGGGCCGCCCAGGGACGCAGAAUAAAGCCUUUCCUUUCUUUCUUUUCUGAUUAA
Long non-coding RNA from Myotis brandtii (Brandt's bat), 375 nucleotides. RefSeq lists it as uncharacterized. The record is from RefSeq and is a predicted model, not a curated record. The transcript has 2 exons. NCBI's taxonomy places the organism in Eukaryota, Metazoa, Chordata, Mammalia, Chiroptera, Vespertilionidae.